This is a long non-coding RNA of Grammomys surdaster, 387 nucleotides long. RefSeq lists it as uncharacterized. The transcript is spliced from 2 exons. The record is from RefSeq and is a predicted model, not a curated record. Lineage: Eukaryota; Metazoa; Chordata; Mammalia; Rodentia; Muridae.
GUAUAAGUAGGACUCAAUGGACAGUGACUGGAGUGUUGCUAACCCAACUCUACUGAACUGGACUGCUGGUGCCAGUGUAUCCUUGAAAUGUCUUUGAAUGGAUCAAGCUGCCACUGCCUGCAAACCUGUGAACGGAACUGCCAAUUGCCAGACAACAGAUGGGAUUUGCUCCAAAGAACCUUUCUAAAGCGGUCCACUUCCUCCACCCUCCCCAGCCCCAGUAUCCUUUCUUUCCCACUACCUCUGAUAGGUGGUGGGCUACAAGGGAGGUUUAAGUGUUUAAGAACCAUUAUUGAAACCAGGAUUUAAAAAAAAAUUAAGUUACACCCUCAGUUUCUAGAACACAGGUACCUUAACCCCAAUGAGUAAAUUCAAUGUUAGCAACAA